CCUACGGGAGGCAGUAGUGAGGAAUAUUGGUCAAUGGGCGGGAGCCUGAACCAGCCAAGUCGCGUGAGGGAAGACGGUCCUAUGGAUUGUAAACCUCUUUAGGCGGGGAGCAAUGCCGGGCACGCGUGCCCGGAGGGAGAGUACCCGCAGAAUAAGCAUCGGCUAACUCCGUGCCAGCAGCCGCGGUAAUACGGAGGAUGCGAGCGUUAUCCGGAUUUAUUGGGUUUACAGGGUGCGUAGGCGGAUUUUUAAGUCAGCGGUACAAGGUCCGGGCUCAACCCGGGCCGGCCGUUGAAACUGGGGAUCUUGAGUGGGCGAGAAGUGUGCGGAAUGCGUGGGGUAGCGGUGAAAGGCAUAGAUAUCACGCAGAACUCCGAUUGCGAAGGCAGCAUACCGGCGCCCGACGGACGCUGAGGCACGAAAGCGUGGGGAUCGAACAGGAUUAGAUACCCUGGUAGUC
Molecule: ribosomal RNA, 460 nt
Filed under: uncultured bacterium
Lineage: Bacteria
Description: partial 16S ribosomal RNA
Rfam family: Bacterial small subunit ribosomal RNA
Source: RNAcentral